GCUCCGGACACGCCUCCUUCCCUUCCGGAGCCCGGGGUAGGCGAGAAGCAGGCAAGGGCGCGGAGGGAAGAAUCGGGAGGGCGGCCAGAGCACGAUGGAAUCUCGCUCUGUCUCCCAGGCUGAAGUGCAAUGACGCAAUCUCGGCUCAAUGCAGCCUCCGCCUCUCAGGUUUAAGCGAUUAUCCCGCCUCAGUCUCACAAGUAGCUGGGAUUACAGGUGCCCACCACCACACCCAGAAGUUCAUUUCGCCUCCCGCCAUGAUUCUGAGGCCUCCCCAGCCCUGUGAAACCGAAACUGAAGUAAUAAGAAAUGCUUUGAAUAUACUCAGAACUGUAUCUUAUAAAAGGAUCACAAACACACAACGCCAGAAGACCUUAGACAAGAGUGUAUGAAGGGCACAAAUGUAGGAGAGAAAUUAGUGAAGACAUAGUACUUUAAAAAUAAUAGACUUUCCCCCUUUUUAUUUAAAUUUUUGAGAGCGAAAACUUAUGAUAGAAUAUUUAGAAACAUAUUAGAGAUACAUAAUUUCAUCCUUAUUUAUUUAUUCAUUUAUUUUUAAGACAGAGUCUUGCUCUGUCACCCAGGCUGGAGUGCAAUAGCCUGAUCAUGGCUCACUGCAACCUCUACAUCCUGGUCUCAAUAUAUAGUCUCUCUCUCUCGCUUUCUUUUUCUCUAUCUCUCAUUCUGGAACCCUGAGCAACUAUGUAAGAAGUCUGGCUGCCAUGAUGCCACCAUGCUGGAGGGACCACAUGGACAUACCAUGAAGAUAUACAGAGAAAUGCUUUAGAAACCUCAGCUGUUCCGUCUUUCAGCUAUUUGAGUCUUCCUAGGCCAAGGGCCAGAUAGACAAAGAAGACUUGAUGGUGACUCCAGCCUUAGUCAAUGUCUAACUGCAACCGCGUGAGAGACUUUCAACCAGAACUAUACAGUGGAGCUGCUUCUGAACUCCUGACCCAUAGAAACCAUGAAUGAUAAUAAAUGAUUGCUGUUUUCCUUAAA
Gorilla gorilla gorilla (western lowland gorilla) is the source of this 999-nucleotide long non-coding RNA. RefSeq lists it as uncharacterized. The transcript has 4 exons. The record is from RefSeq and is a predicted model, not a curated record. NCBI's taxonomy places the organism in Eukaryota, Metazoa, Chordata, Mammalia, Primates, Hominidae.